Molecule: ribosomal RNA, 941 nt
Filed under: uncultured bacterium
Lineage: Bacteria
Description: bacterial SSU rRNA
Rfam family: Bacterial small subunit ribosomal RNA
Source: RNAcentral
UGCAAGUCGAACGCGAAAGAGGGGGAAACCCCUCGAGUAGAGUGGCGAACGGGUGAGUAACGCGUGAAGAACCUGCCCUCAGCAGGGGGAUAACACUCCUAACGGGGUGCUAAUACCGCAUGAGACCACGAGUUCAUAUGAACUUGAGGUCAAAGGUGGCCUCUGCUUGCAAGCUACCGGCUGAGGAUGGCUUCGCGUCCCAUUAGCUAGUUGGCGGUGUAACGGACCACCAAGGCGACGAUGGGUAGCUGGUCUGAGAGGAUGGUCAGCCACACUGGGACUGAGAUACGGCCCAGACUCCUACGGGAGGCAGCAGUCGAGAGGCUUUGGCAAUGGGGGAAACCCUGACCAAGCGACGCCGCGUGGAGGAUGAAGGCCUUUGGGUUGUAAACUCCUUUUGUCGGGGAAGAAAUGCGAUCAGGUGAAUAAUCUGGUCGUUUGACGGUACCCGGCGAAUAAGCUCCGGCUAACUCCGUGCCAGCAGCCGCGGUAACACGGGGGGAGCAAGCGUUGUUCGGAAUCACUGGGCGUAAAGGGCGUGUAGGCGGUCAAGUAAGUGGGGUGUGAAAUCCCUCGGCUCACCCGAGGACCUGCAUUCCAUACUGCUUGGCUUGAGUACGGGAGAGGAUGAGGGAAUUCCUGGUGUAGCGGUGAAAUGCGUAGAUAUCAGGAGGAACACCGGUGGCGAAGGCGCUCAUCUGGCCCGAUACUGACGCUGAGGCGCGAAAGCUAGGGGAGCAAACGGGAUUAGAUACCCCGGUAGUCCUAGCCGUAAACGGUGAUCACUAGGUGUUGGAGGCAUCGACCCCUCCAGUGCCGCAGCUAACGCAUUAAGUGAUCCGCCUGGGGAGUACGGCCGCAAGGUUGGAACUCAAAGGAAUUGACGGGGGCCCGCACAAGCGGUGGAGCAUGUGGUUUAAUUCGACGCAACGCGAAGAACC